ACGCCAAUACGCCUCCGCUAUUUGGUGGAUAUCUUGGCUUGGGAACCGAUGAAGAGCGUGACAAGCUGCGAAAAGCUCGGGUUAGUCGCAUGAAGACGCUGACCCCGAGAUCCUCGAAUAGGACAUCCACUUGCGGCCUAAUAAUCCGCAAGAUUCCCACAUGGGAAAGGGAACCCUGAGAAGUAAAACAUUUUAGUAUCAGGAGGAAAAGAAAACAAUAGUGAUUCCGUGAGUAACGGCGAGCGAAAGCGGAAUAGGUCAAACCGAAUCCCCUAGGGAAACCUAGGGGAGAUGUGGUGUGUGGACCUCGUACGACCUCUCUAGAGAAUAUGAAUACCCCUGGAAAGUUGAGCCAUAGAGCGUGAUAGCCGCGUAAUAGUAAUCUAGAAGGUUGCUGCGAGAGUUCCCGAGUAAUGCGGGAUGGUUUUCUCGUAUGAAUAAACCAGAUACACGCUGGUAAAUCUAAAUAUAACCCAAGACCGAUAGUGAAAUAGUAGCGUGAGCGAAAGAUGAAAAGUAACCCGGAAGGGCCGUGAAAAGUGCUUGAAACCAAAUAGCUUAGUAAGGAUGCAGCCUGAAAGGAUAGAUUCUGAACGAAUGAGGUCCGGUGACGGAUCAUCAAAGUUUAGAGGACUAGGGUUGCAUCAUCAGUCUGGAAUCAUUGGCCAGGGAGUUUACAGUAGUAGCGAGCUUAAGUGGAUCACCCACGAAGGCGAAGGGAAACCGAUAUUCUUGCAACCUGUCUAUCACAUUAGGAAGGUCUACUCGUUUAUUUGUGGUUUUGCCACUCUGAUAACGUUUAGCGAAUCCUUCUAAGGAGAUAGGCCAGAAGAAUGGUCUCAAAGGGCCAAAAGUUUCUGCUGUAAUACCCGAAGCCGGUCGAUCUAUUCCUGGUCAAGAUGAAGUCGUUCGAAAGGAUGAUGGAGGUCUGCACCAGUGAUGAUGUACAAUUCUCUUGGAUGAACUGGGAAUAGGAGCAAAAGGCUAAUCUAGAUCGGUGAUAGCUGGUUCUCCCCGAAGUUGGUGUCAGCCAAGUCUCAGACGAAGUCGCCAGUGACGUAGAGCACUAAUUGCGAGGCAAGGGGAAGAAAUUCCUCCCCCCGCUCUUAAACUCCGAAUUUGCUGGCACUGUAGACUCUGGGAAACGGGUUGGUGGGCGUAAAGUCCAUCGCCGAGAAGGGAACAACCUAGACUUGGGUUAAGGUCCCUAAAUGCAGGUUAAGUGUUAAACGAAAGGGCGUUAUAUUUCUAAAACAGCAAAAGGAUAGGUAUAGAAGUAACCACUCCCUAACGAGUGUGUAACAACUCAUUUG
This 1313-nucleotide ribosomal RNA is filed under the name Promethearchaeota archaeon. RNAcentral's name for it is "Candidatus Lokiarchaeota archaeon (permafrost metagenome) partial 23S ribosomal RNA". It matches the Rfam family "Archaeal large subunit ribosomal RNA", at positions 1 to 1234 of the family's 2987-position model. The record is from RNAcentral. Lineage: Archaea; Promethearchaeati; Promethearchaeota.